CUCACUUCAGGAGGGCAUAUAUAAAAUUGGAAUAAUACAGAGAAGAUUAGCAUGUCCCCUGUGCAAGGAUGAUACACAAAUUCAACAAGUGUCUCAUAUUUUU
This is a small nuclear RNA of Tupaia belangeri (northern tree shrew), 103 nucleotides long. Lineage: Eukaryota; Metazoa; Chordata; Mammalia; Scandentia; Tupaiidae. The record is from Ensembl.